This is a long non-coding RNA of Bos indicus x Bos taurus (hybrid cattle), 1445 nucleotides long. Lineage: Eukaryota; Metazoa; Chordata; Mammalia; Artiodactyla; Bovidae. The record is from Ensembl.
UCAGAGAACUAGACCCCCACAUGCUUCAACUAAAGAUCCCGCCUGCUGUGACUAAGACCUAGCACAGCCAAAUAAAUAAUGUAAAAGAAAAACAAGCCCCAAAAAACUAAAAAUAAGUUUGGGAGAGCACUUUGGGGCAGUAACUUGGACCCAAUGAACCUCCAUAAUCCAAAUGUUUCUACUCAAAACUGAUGCUGGGGCACCUGUGGGUGCCCCAUCACCACUGCCUGGCCACCUUAUUGACACAGGUGGCCCUGGAAAUACUCCUCCCUGCACUGGAUUACUAAUGGAAAGGAGGAAACACCACACACCAGUGGAGACAGCACCCUUGUCAAAUACAUUGGCCCCCUUUCCAGCUCUCCCUGCCCAGCUGGUAAUUGGAUACACUCACAGAAUCCUGUUCAGCAGCAGUUUAGGAUGCGGGACGCCUCUUUCCUCCCAGAAGCGGGGACCUGCACUCACCCCUUGGGGAUUGCUUCAGUGGCUUAAAGAAAAGUUGUCCUUGUAUCCUACCCGUCUGCCUGUUCUGCAGAGCCUGCGUGGGACUUGGUGCCAUAUCCCUGGGCUUCAAAACCUCGGAAGCUGGCGGAAACUGGCUAAAACCAGAGGCAGGAUGUUUCCCCCAAACCCGGCCCCCAGCCUGGAGAGAACCUACUUUUCCCACUCAGCACCUCUAGCCUGGGAGCUUAUAAAGGGCUAACGAAGAAGCUCUAUAGGCCAACAUACCUUGGUUCUGUUUCCAGCGCCCUCACUAAAGGGCUGCUUGGUGACCUCAGGCAAAUUACUUACCUACUCUGAUCCUUAGUUGCUUCGUCUAAAAACGGAUGGAAUUGGACCAAGUGACUAUUAAUACUAAGGUCUUUUUCAGCUCUGAUGGUCAAAGAUGCUAAUGUUCUAUUUCCUGAGGAUAUAAAAAUAUAACACAAUUUUUUCCUUUAGGAAAAUUAUAUACUUAGAGGGAAGAAGACUAACAAGUAGAAAACAUACCUCAGGCUUGUUUCUCAUAUGGCAAAACAAAACCUAAUACAGAGUGUAUUUAAAAGAUGCAGUGCUUAUUAAAAGUUCUCCAAGUGCAAGGCAUUUAAAGCACUUGACUAGGAAUGGAUAUGGAGAAGGCAAUGGCACCCCACUCCAGUACUCUUGCCUGGAAAAUCCCAUGGACGGAGGAGCCUGGUGGGCUGCAGUCCAUGGGGUCGCUAGGAGUUGGACACGACUGAGCGACUUCACUUUGACUUUUCACUUUCAUGCACUGGAGGAGAAAAUGGCAACCCACUCCAGUGUUCUUUUGCCUGGAGAAUCCCAUGGACAGAGGAGCCUGGUGGACUGCCAUCUAUGGGGUCGCACACAGUCGGACACGACUGAAGCGACUUAACAGCAGCAGCAGUAGCAGGAAUGGAUAACAACAGUCAAAUAAAGGAAUGAACAGUCUGCUGUUUCUAAAGACU